CGGCAUGCUUAACACAUGCAAGUCGAACGGUAACAGGACUAGCCUGCUAGUCGCUGACGAGUGGCGGACGGGUGAGUAACGCGUAGGAAUCUGCCUUAAGGUGGGGGAUAACUCGGGGAAACUCGAGCUAAUACCGCAUAACCUCUACGGAGUAAAGCGGGGGAUCUUCGGACCUCGUGCCUUAAGAUGAGCCUGCGUCAGAUUAGCUUGUUGGUGGGGUAAUGGCCUACCAAGGCAACGAUCUGUAGCUGGUCUGAGAGGAUGAUCAGCCACACUGGGACUGAGACACGGCCCAGACUCCUACGGGAGGCAGCAGUGGGGAAUAUUGGACAAUGGGGGCAACCCUGAUCCAGCAAUGCCGCGUGUGUGAAGAAGGCCUUCGGGUUGUAAAGCACUUUCAGUUGGGAAGAACUACUCCAGGUUAAUAACCUGAGAGAUGUGACGUUACCUUCAGAAGAAGCACCGG
This 466-nucleotide ribosomal RNA is filed under the name uncultured Coxiella sp. Its description in RNAcentral is "bacterial SSU rRNA". It matches the Rfam family "Bacterial small subunit ribosomal RNA", at positions 40 to 496 of the family's 1533-position model. The record is from RNAcentral. Lineage: Bacteria; Pseudomonadati; Pseudomonadota; Gammaproteobacteria; Legionellales; Coxiellaceae.